AUCCAGAUGAUGAGUUGGAAAUAGGAUGAAAUGCUCAUCCUGGAU
Molecule: non-coding RNA, 45 nt
Filed under: Trichobilharzia regenti
Lineage: Eukaryota; Metazoa; Platyhelminthes; Trematoda; Strigeidida; Schistosomatidae
Source: RNAcentral